This 270-nucleotide ribosomal RNA is filed under the name uncultured bacterium. RNAcentral's name for it is "partial 16S ribosomal RNA". It matches the Rfam family "Bacterial small subunit ribosomal RNA", at positions 29 to 286 of the family's 1533-position model. The record is from RNAcentral.
AAUGAACGCUGGCGGCGUGCCUAACACAUGCAAGUCGCGCGCGAAAAGGGGCAACCCUGAGUAGAGCGGCGAACGGGUGAGUAACACGUGGGUAAUCUGCCUAGGAGCGGGGGAUAACCUGGGGAAACUCGGGCUAAUACCGCAUACGAUCACGGGGCUUCGGCUCUGUGCUGAAAGGUGGCCUCUGCUUGCAAGCUACCACUCCUAGAGGAGCCCGCGCCUGAUUAGCUAGUUGGUGGGGUAACGGCCUACCAAGGCGACGAUCAGUAG